UUUUAUGUGAUAAAGGAAAUACCAUUCUGCUAUACUGAUUGCUACGAAAAUACAUUUUAUAGAGCCAGCCAGUCAGCACACUGGCACCAGUAACAACAGCCAAACCAACAGCAGCAACAACAGCAAAAGCGCAAUAGCAACGUCGACGAUGACUAAAGCGGAUGAUGGUGCCCAGUGUAAGAGCACGAAGCUGCUAUUGUCUCAAUGCCAACGUAUUGGUGUCGGUGCGCUGCAGUCAAAGUAAAAUUUGAACUAAGCAUGGCACCGACCAGCUCGACAUGGAAACGCCAAGGCACACUUCUCAGGCGAAUGUGCUGACUGACAGACUGGCUGGUCUGUUGGCUGGUUGACUGGAUGGAGCAGCUGUGCGAAUGGGUCGCAUCAUACGGUGUCGGCGUUGAAGUGCUCGAGAGGUGUCGGUGUGGCAGGCGAAGUGAAGCAUUUUGGUAUAGAAUUUUGUUUUCCUUACAUUAUUCUAUUUUCAGUGGAUUAAAUGUUGAUAUUGGUAGUCGGACGGUCGUCGGUUGUUUUGUUAGUCGCUGGUGGUGUUGCUGUUGGUGGGGUCGGUUUGCAACACUUAUGGUGCAGUAGAAUAUUAAGUUGUGUGGUGUAAUGGGAUGGUGUGGCUGAGGCGCUGUUGUAACUCAAGGAAAUAUUAUAGACAGUGAGAUUUUUAGCCACUCAAUGCCAAAUAAAUAAAUAUUAUAUAUUAUUAUAAGUAAUUGGCUUAUAAAACAUAUAUAAGUACAUAUAAGUAUGUCAUAGCAUUGGUCUCCAAAGCUGAGCCUAGGGUACAAAAGUAAAAAAUUACAGUAUAUUUCCUACUUAAAGAUCUCUUGAACAUACUAUGUACCACCAUGUAUGGCUAUACCAAAAGAUGGACCCAGUUAGACCUCCUUGGUCAUAUGCAAUUGCAUUAAAUGAUUUCCAGCUAAAAUUUCGGUAGCUUCAGAAGAUCCCGAGUAAAACCAAACUCUCUUUACAGGAGAUAACAUUAAGAUAACAAAAUUUACUCGAAAAUUUAUCAACACAAACUGAAAAUCAUCCUCGUCCUCAAGAGCCAACAUUUACUAAUGACCUCGUUGUACAACCUGAUUAAAAGCUUCGUUCCAGCUCCUUUUCUGAAAUAAUUCCAAGGUACUUUACUGUAGUUGCAAGCCGGUUCGAACUGUUAUGAUUACACAGUUCCUGUCGACACACUUAUUAAGAGGUCUAUGUACCAAAAUAUUUCUGAAAUUUAACGAAAUUUUCCGCUUAUUCGACUACUGUUUCAUAAUACUGAUUCUUCUUAGUCCGCUUGUACACGGCUACCCACUUUUGUUUAUAUGUAGUGGUAUUUGCGUGGCAUCUUCCCACCGUCACCAACACUAGAGUGCUGGUAUUACCCUCAGUCGAACUAGAGUUUUAGUUGUCGGUAAAGAAAACUGCACUGUAUUUUACGCCAAAGCUGUACAAAAAAGAAUAAAAGGCAAAAUAGAAAUUUCCAUCGAUCGAAAGAAGGUAGAAGUGCUCCGUUGCCGCGUUGUUCAGUUGCUUGGUAGCUAUUUGCUUUGCCUGACAACCAGCGCCAAUUCGAGCAACCGACAGACAGAAAGACUGACGGAACUGACUUAACUGACUGACUCGCUGCUAGCACUUGGCAACUAUUCAAAGUUGUUGGUUCUGUUGGUACACUUCGCCUGCUUGGCCGUGUCUUCGUUGCCAUUUCUCGCCAGCGCUAUGGAAGAAACCUCGGAGUCACAGCAAUGGCGGCAGUGUUGGUUCCAUAUCUGACACGAAAAUUCCACUUUGGAAUGAGAAAACACCAACUAGCAAGUACUGCAACAGCAAUACCAACUAUAAUAAUAACAACAACAACAGCAACAAAUGCCAUUACGUCCACGACGUAAUUUAGAAUUCUGAUGUUCACAUGAAGCUAGCACGGUCCGGUCACGGGAAAGCACAAGUAGCAGUAGCAGGAAAAGCAACAAAACAGAGACAUUAGCGAAGAACCAGCUCCACUCGUCGUAGCGGCAACGAAACCAGAGCUGGCACCGACACUGGCACUAGCACCGAUUCUAGCGCACAAUCUCGUAAUGCCAGUGCCUGAAUAGCAAAAACAAAAAUGAGAGAAAAAAGAAGCCAACGCUUACAUACAUAUGCGCUCAUAAAUAUUGCAUGUACCAUAUAUAUAUAUAAGUAUGUGUGUUGUCGUGCAACGACAUCUCGCCGAACAAUUUAAGUUUGAAUGAAUGAAUAGCUUGCGCAUAGUAAGUGAAGUGAGUGUGCGACAUUGCGGCCAAACAAAGUAUUUAAUAAUAAAAAGGGAUUUGAACGAUUUGCUGAUAAGGUGGCAUUGACAAGAUCGCAAGGUCGUUCAUUGAGCAGCUGGUAGGCGUGAUUUGUGUUGGGAAGAGGGUGGGAGGGAGAGCAAGAAAUAAAGGGGAAGAGAGCCAAAAAAAAAGCGAGAGAGAGAGGUAAACGUGGUAAUCGAGCACGUGGCAGGGAAAAUGACAUGAAUCGUUUAACAGCAUGCCGCUGCAACUAAAGAAAUGUAAAUUUAACAGGCUAGUGGGAAAAAUUUUAUAUCACAUGAGACAUGACAUCAACAGAGAGAUUUGAGAGCACUACAAUUACAUGAGAGCAGUGAAAAUGUUUUAGAAGAGUUAUUAUUUAAAAAGGAUUAAUAUUCCCAACCUAGCGCUUGAUUCUGUAAUAAAAAAUCUGCACUUAUAUAUUUUGUA
Bactrocera oleae (olive fruit fly) is the source of this 2723-nucleotide long non-coding RNA. RefSeq lists it as uncharacterized. The record is from RefSeq and is a predicted model, not a curated record. NCBI's taxonomy places the organism in Eukaryota, Metazoa, Arthropoda, Insecta, Diptera, Tephritidae.